Molecule: ribosomal RNA, 164 nt
Filed under: Rheum palmatum
Lineage: Eukaryota; Viridiplantae; Streptophyta; Magnoliopsida; Caryophyllales; Polygonaceae
Description: 5.8S ribosomal RNA
Rfam family: 5.8S ribosomal RNA
About the family: 5.8S ribosomal RNA (5.8S rRNA) is a component of the large subunit of the eukaryotic ribosome.
Source: RNAcentral
AGAACGACUCUCGGCAACGGAUAUCUCGGCUCUCGCAUCGAUGAAGAACGUAGCGAAAUGCGAUACUUGGUGUGAAUUGCAGAAUCCCGUGAACCAUCGAGUCUUUGAACGCAAGUUGCGCCCGAAGCCUUCUGGCUGAGGGCACGUCUGUCUGGGCGUCACGC